This is a small nuclear RNA of Mesoplodon densirostris (Blainville's beaked whale), 107 nucleotides long. Lineage: Eukaryota; Metazoa; Chordata; Mammalia; Artiodactyla; Ziphiidae. The record is from RefSeq and is a predicted model, not a curated record.
GUGCCCACUUCAGUAACACAUAUGCUAAAAUUGGAAAGAUACAGAGAAGAUUAGCGUAGACCCUGCCCAAGGAUGACACACAAAUUCGUGAAGCGGUCCAUAAUUUU